UAGGGAAUCUUCCGCAAUGGGCGAAAGCCUGACGGAGCAACGCCGCGUGAGUGAUGAAGGUCUUCGGAUCGUAAAACUCUGUUAUUAGGGAAGAACAUAUGUGUAAGUAACUGUGCACAUCUUGACGGUACCUAAUCAGAAAGCCACGGCUAACUACGUGCCAGCAGCCGCGGUAAUACGUAGGUGGCAAGCGUUAUCCGGAAUUAUUGGGCGUAAAGCGCGCGUAGGCGGUUUUUUAAGUCUGAUGUGAAAGCCCACGGCUCAACCGUGGAGGGUCAUUGGAAACUGGAAAACUUGAGUGCAGAAGAGGAAAGUGGAAUUCCAUGUGUAGCGGUGAAAUGCGCAGAGAUAUGGAGGAACACCAGUGGCGAAGGCGACUUUCUGGUCUGUAACUGACGCUGAUGUGCGAAAGCGUGGGGAUCAAACAGGAUUAGAUACCCUGGUAGUCCACGCCGUAAACGAUGAGUGCUAAGUGUUAGGGGGUUUCCGCCCCUUAGUGCUGCAGCUAACGCAUUAAGCACUCCGCCUGGGGAGUACGGCCGCAAGGUUA
This 550-nucleotide ribosomal RNA is filed under the name uncultured bacterium. RNAcentral's name for it is "bacterial SSU rRNA". It matches the Rfam family "Bacterial small subunit ribosomal RNA", at positions 355 to 896 of the family's 1533-position model. The record is from RNAcentral.